GAUGAACGCUGGCGGCGUGCCUAAUACAUGCAAGUCGAGCGAACGGACGAGAAGCUUGCUUCUCUGAUGUUAGCGGCGGACGGGUGAGUAACACGUGGAUAACCUACCUAUAAGACUGGGAUAACUUCGGGAAACCGGAGCUAAUACCGGAUGAUAUUUUGAACCGCAUGGUUCAAAAGUGAAAGACGGUCUUGCUGUCACUUAUAGAUGGAUCCGCGCUGCAUUAGCUAGUUGGUAAGGUAACGGCUUACCAAGGCAACGAUGCAUAGCCGACCUGAGAGGGUGAUCGGCCACACUGGAACUGAGACACGGUCCAGACUCCUACGGGAGGCAGCAGUAGGGAAUCGUCCGCAAUGGGCGAAAGCCUGACGGAGCAACGCCGCGUGAGUGAUGAAGGUCGUCGGAUCGUAAAACUCUGUUAUUAGGGAAGAACAUAUGUGUAAGUAACUGUGCACAUCUUGACGGUACCUAAUCAGAAAGCCACGGCUAACUACG
This 495-nucleotide ribosomal RNA is filed under the name uncultured bacterium. Its description in RNAcentral is "partial 16S ribosomal RNA". It matches the Rfam family "Bacterial small subunit ribosomal RNA", at positions 28 to 505 of the family's 1533-position model. The record is from RNAcentral.